GCUGGGGUCCAAGGAGAAAGAAUGGUGUGCGGAUACAGAGCAGAGGGAGAGCGUGUGGCAAGGGAGACCUAAGGAAACAUGCACCAAACCUUCUCAGAGACACUGAUUAUCCUACUUAAUUGGCCUACCUGUGUAAUCUUCAGAUUCGUGCAGCCUGCGUACCUCUCCUCCAGUCUCAUUACUCAUGG
Long non-coding RNA from Mesocricetus auratus (golden hamster), 188 nucleotides. RefSeq lists it as uncharacterized. The record is from RefSeq and is a predicted model, not a curated record. NCBI's taxonomy places the organism in Eukaryota, Metazoa, Chordata, Mammalia, Rodentia, Cricetidae. The transcript has 2 exons.